This 720-nucleotide long non-coding RNA is filed under the name Pan troglodytes (chimpanzee). RNAcentral describes it as "long non-coding RNA NONPTRT009371". The record is from RNAcentral. Lineage: Eukaryota; Metazoa; Chordata; Mammalia; Primates; Hominidae.
UACUUUUUUAACCUUAGCACACAAAAUGGAUAUGGUUGAAAGUCAAAUGACAGUGUGCCACCAGGUAAUGUGUCUAGGUUGUAACUGCCUUUGUGCUUUAUACAUAGGCACUCCAACAUCAGAAGGAAAUAAAAGCUCACCACAGUCCCCGGCAAUUUAAAAAUUCCAUCUCUGUGCUUAUGAACCAUCUAUUAAUAAAUGAACCUUUAUAAUAAUGUCUGAUAGAAAAAUUCAUUUACAAAUGAAUUUAUAGUAAUAAAGUAUGUUACCUAAUUAAAGAGACUUUUGCAAAUCACUUGCUAAAUAAGUUGAUCAGACUCCAGAGAAAUAGAACUGAAGACUCUUGGAAGCAUCUGAUAAUAUGCCAAGGAACACCGAGGAAACUGUGGGGAAAAAAAUCUGCAAUCUAAUAGGCUUCAGAAGUGCUGAUUAGUAAUAGGCAAAAAUGGUCAACUACUAAAAUUGUCCUAUAAUCCCAAACACAAUUUAGAAAAAUAAAGUCUCAUAUACAUUGCAUUUUCAUUUUGUAUUGUUUAUGACAUUCCUGGCAAAAAAAAUUUGAGGUGAUAUAUCCUUUUACAAAUCUUACUUUGAUAGAAGUGUUCAAUUUCGUAGUAUGACUUUUACAUAUUUAUAUAAAUUGUUUUGCAUUAGUACAUGUGCUCAGAAUCUAUACUUAAGGGCUGGUAACAUUUCUGUUAAAUAUCUUUUUAUAUCUUU